AUUUUUGGUUAAUUUGUUUCUAGUGCUUUUGAUAUUGUUCUUCUUCUUGCCUUUACUUUGUUUACUUACCCCUAAACAGCGUUUUGCGUGAUGCAGUUUUAGUGUAAGCACUAGCAUCAUAGAAUUGCAUCAUUGAAGCAGAUGCACUUGGUAUAAAUAUAAUGUAAAAUGUUAAAAACGAAUAUCGCAUUGUCACAAGGGCAACUUUUUAAAAUCGAAGUUUGAUUAUCGAAUGUGUCAAAGUGUGAAAGAAUAAGUUGGCAGGGCCGAUAAAUAGGGAAUUCGAUAAAAGCCAACAAUAUUGAAUGUGGCAACUGUGGUGAUAAAAGACAAAGAAUUAAAAACAAUUCAACCAGUAUGUCGCGUGCCUUCGCAAUUGAAAUGACUUCUUUAAAAGCAUCUGUUGUCUGCCUUCAGGAAUGCAUUGUGAGGGCGCAGGUGCUCCUUGCCAAUAUUGUCACUACUCAGAAUGUCAACAAGCAUCAUGAGAAUAUAGAAGGUUGCCUUACUACGGUUAAGUUGGCAUUGGAUAUUGUGCGCUUACAUCUUCUGAAACUUAAAGAUAUCAAUCGUCUUUUUCUGGAUAUGAAGCUGAAUUAUUUGCGUCGCUCCAAUAGAAAUUAAUACAUAAUUUCAGUUAAAAAUAUGUAUCAAAUACCCUGCACAUAAAUAUUAAAUGUGUUUUACUAAUUCA
Molecule: long non-coding RNA, 694 nt
Organism: Drosophila sulfurigaster albostrigata
Lineage: Eukaryota; Metazoa; Arthropoda; Insecta; Diptera; Drosophilidae
Exons: 2
Source: RefSeq, a predicted model, not a curated record